RNAcentral lists this unclassified non-coding RNA (698 nucleotides) under Hevea brasiliensis (rubber tree). The record is from RNAcentral. Lineage: Eukaryota; Viridiplantae; Streptophyta; Magnoliopsida; Malpighiales; Euphorbiaceae.
AAAGCUUUCCAAAAUUUGGCCAGGUGUUUCCCAUGUAUAUUCCUUUGCUACUUAAUGUUCAACAUGCCCAAUUUUUCGUCUCUUUUUCAUUCUUUCCAACUGAUAUUGGAAAUCUUGCUAUGGAUGCCAAUUUGCAUUUUUUCUGCGAAUAAAAGCUGCUUUGGCUAGAAUGAAAUUGUAUCACAUGAUGUGAUUCAUGUUUGCUGUUGAUUUUUCUGUGGAAACUUACAGUAAAAGCUACAGUUUUUGUGCAUGCUUGUGUGUUUACUCAUUAUCACCAGUUUGCACUGCAAUACUCCCUGUUAAGCACCAGUGAGUCUGAGUUCAUGCGUGAAUAUAUAGACCAUAUAGACCAAAUGAAAAUUUGAAGCCUUCUCUUUAGUAGAAGACAGACAGACAGUUAUCCACACGAGUUGGGCUUCAAAUAUGAGCAAGAUAUAGACCCUGAAUUUUUUGUAUCAAUCACUUCUCUUGUGUCCCUUUCUACCUCAGUAAACUUUUGGGAGGCAGAUUAUAUUCCUCUGGCUUAUAUAAUGUAUGAUAUGCAUCUAUUCAUGAUUGCAUGGCAGAAAGAUGGGAAGGCAAAGUGGAGACCUUAAUGGACUAUUAUUUUAUUCAUUCAAGUAGUUAAGUAGUUGAAUCUCUUGCAGUAUUGAUUCUUUUGAACAUACUGCAAUAAUUUGGAAUUUAUUAUUCAA